GACGAGGGAUCCUAGCGUUGUUCGGAAUCAUUGGGCGUAAAGCGGGUGUAGGUGGCUUUGUAAGUCGGGUGUGAAAGCCCAGGGCUCAACCCUGGAAGUGCAUUCGAUACUGCGAAGCUUGAGUGUUGGAGAGGUUAUCGGAAUACCUGGUGUAGUGGUGAAAUACGUAGAUAUCAGGUGGAACACCGGAGGCGAAGGCGGGUAACUGGCCAAACACUGACACUGAGACCCGAAAGUGUGGGGAUCAAACAGG
Molecule: ribosomal RNA, 253 nt
Filed under: uncultured bacterium
Lineage: Bacteria
Description: partial 16S ribosomal RNA
Rfam family: Bacterial small subunit ribosomal RNA
Source: RNAcentral